This 244-nucleotide ribosomal RNA is filed under the name uncultured Clostridiaceae bacterium. RNAcentral describes it as "partial 16S ribosomal RNA". It matches the Rfam family "Bacterial small subunit ribosomal RNA", at positions 796 to 1041 of the family's 1533-position model. Lineage: Bacteria; Bacillati; Bacillota; Clostridia; Eubacteriales; Clostridiaceae. The record is from RNAcentral.
CACGCCGUAAACGAUGAAUACUAGGUGUAGGGGUUGUCAUGACCUCUGUGCCGCCGCUAACGCAUUAAGUAUUCCGCCUGGGGAGUACGGUCGCAAGAUUAAAACUCAAAGGAAUUGACGGGGGCCCGCACAAGCAGCGGAGCAUGUGGUUUAAUUCGAAGCAACGCGAAGAACCUUACCAAGGCUUGACAUGCACCGGUACAGUGUAGAGAUAUGCUGGCCUUUUUGGCUGGUGUGCAGGUGG